AAUGGAAGUAUGACUAAUCAGAUUUUUCCUCCUAAUUUUCAGCUUUUUCCUCCUGAAAAAAUUCAAAUCCAAUUAAAAAUGCUAAAGAUCAAGAAGAAAAAUCUGAUCUGUCAUUUUUCCAUU
Non-coding RNA from Gossypium hirsutum (cotton), 123 nucleotides. The record is from Rfam. Lineage: Eukaryota; Viridiplantae; Streptophyta; Magnoliopsida; Malvales; Malvaceae.